AUCAAUGGAGGUAUAUCUGCAGCACAUAUAAAUACAUGAAUUCAUUAGAAUUUAGAAGUAUAUGAACCAUGUGCAUGUUGCCCUUUGUCUACAUUUCACAAUAAAGAGCUCUAUAACACACUUUAGAAAUUCUUAUUCAAAUGUCAGUCGUAGCAUCAACAGGCCAUGAUGUAAGCUCACUAUAUCUUGACAAAUUUGAUGGUAAAGUAACUUCAACCGCCAAUUGUCGGAUUAUGUUAUGAAUUGAAAUAGCAGGACAAAUCAUAAAUGCUAGGAAAAACUUGAAUAGCACUUUUCAACUUUCAUCCUUUGGAAGAUUUCAGAUCAAUCAGACUUUAGAACUAAAAACUGAUCAAGUGAGUCAAAUGUUGUAGUCCGUGAAUUUGGAUUCCAACUCUCUGGUACAAGUCCGGUAGAUGUUUCUAAAAGAACAAGAUGGCUAUAAUAAUUGACAAAGAUCAAAAGUCCACAUGACUUGUAAAAUUAAUGAUUCUACUAAAACAUUUCAUCUCAUCAAUCCUCUCUUUUGCUAAUAGUUUCAUUUUAUAGCUCACUGUUUGAUUACAGCUUGUAUUCCUUCCAAAGAAAACAGGUACUGUAGAAUUUCAAAUCUCAAUCACUUUUCUAAUAGAUACAUCAGCUCAGUAGAUAUUAAACUCUACAUGACAGUAAGAUCACUUCUUUUUAAACCCUCAUCAAAGUAGUUUAGCGAAAGGAUAUAGUCCAUAUGAUUAAGAGAUAUUGAUAGUGUAAAAUUUAGCUAUAAGAAAUGCAAAUUUACAACUAAUAAACAAACAGGAAAGCAUUCAACAGCUGCAGUACUCACAGGUAUCAAGCAAGAGUGGUUGAAGAAGAAUCAUUCUUUGCACAACCACUCUCGUUACUCUACCUCUAUAAAUUGAAUGGAUUUCAAAAUAUAACCAGAUAAAAAGCUUGCCCUGACUGAAUAUUUGUGUUUAUAUCUGACGAACACAUGGAGCUCUAGGGGCUAGGCCUGACCAAUAAAUUUGGAAAUUGUGCGAUUUUCCCUCAAUAAGUUGACAUUGAGAGUUAUCACAUGGUGCUUCUGUUUUCAUAUUUCAAUGAAAAGUACGAAGUGG
RNAcentral lists this long non-coding RNA (1100 nucleotides) under Coffea arabica (coffee). RNAcentral describes it as "long non-coding RNA (CARA_LNC003769)". Lineage: Eukaryota; Viridiplantae; Streptophyta; Magnoliopsida; Gentianales; Rubiaceae. The record is from RNAcentral.